UACGGAGGGUGCAAGCGUUAUCCGGAUUCACUGGGCUUAAAGGGUGCGUAGGUGGGCAGGUAAGUCAGUGGUGAAAUCUCCGGGCUUAACCCGGAAACUGCCGUUGAUACUAUUUGUCUUGAAUAUUGUGGAGGUAAGCGGAAUAUGUCAUGUAGCGGUGAAAUGCUUAGAUAUGACAUAGAACACCAAUUGCGAAGGCAGCUUACUACACAACGAUUGACGCUGAGGCACGAAAGCGUGGGGAUCAAACAGG
Molecule: ribosomal RNA, 253 nt
Filed under: uncultured bacterium
Lineage: Bacteria
Description: partial 16S ribosomal RNA
Rfam family: Bacterial small subunit ribosomal RNA
Source: RNAcentral